Molecule: long non-coding RNA, 1739 nt
Organism: Triticum aestivum (bread wheat)
Lineage: Eukaryota; Viridiplantae; Streptophyta; Magnoliopsida; Poales; Poaceae
Exons: 4
Source: RefSeq, a predicted model, not a curated record
GCCUUGGCCCGUCUCUCUAUUAUGCCCGUCCGCUCACCGUCGUCAUACUUUUGCUAAAACACCCCUGUGUUUUUCCGUAAUACAACCCGUAGUCCUUAUUUUACUAAUAACGUUUCGUUAAAAAAAGGUACGUUUUAUCCAAACGCUCAGCGGACAAGUGAAGGUCAGGUGCGGGCGGAGCUGGGCGGAGCUGCGGCAGAAGGGGUGGCGCGACGGAGCAGGAGAAGAUGUUCAGGCACGGCGGGCGGAGCGGGAGAGGUUCAUGCGGAGCUGCGGCAAAAGGGGCGGUGCAACGGAGCAGGAGAAGAUGGCCGAGAAGAUGUUCAGGCACGGCGUGGCGGGCGGAGCAGCAGAGGUUCAGGCGCAGCGCGGCGGGCAGAGCAAGAGAGGUUCAGGGGAGAUGCCAGCGGAGCAGGAGAGUACAUGGGCGGUGGAGCAGGAGAGGUUCAUGGGCGGUGCCCUUGUCGCCGGACGGCCAUCCUUGCUGUGCUUGACGGAGGAUAGAAGGGGGAACAUUUUCUGGUGGGUACGCCGGCCGCGGGCGCGCUUUGCUGUGACCUGUCCGCCGCCACCAAUCCUCUCCGGCCUCCUCCGUAUCCUUCUCAAUCUCGGACGAGCUAUUCCCGUGCCGUGAUUUGGAUGGACAAUAGGAGGUCGUGUCCUUCUCCAACACCAAGCAAUGGAGUGCCCGACCCGGAUUUGAGUUGUUUGCUAUAAGAAGGAGUGGUCCUCGGCCGAAAUCUCCAUCAGAUUGCGUCCUUGGACCAUAAGCUCCAUCAAAGCCCGUCCAAAUUGCUUUUUUUUGACGCAACGUACAAUGUCGCCGUCGAGUUCGCCGGAGGAGGAAGUGCCGAGUUCGCCGGAGGAACAAGACCAUCUGUCCAACCGCCCAAUUUCGCCUGCCUCAGCUACACCAGAGAAAAUAGAUGACAUCACUGAACUGAACAUUGCAGAGGAUUUGGAUAAUCGACCUUAAAAAAGCAAAAAUUGCUGAACCAGGUGUUCUGGAGCCAUCGCCAAUGUCGCCAACUAUGUCAGCAUCUACACCAAUUUCUGAAUGUUUUGAAUCCAUUGUGCCGGAAUCAGAUGAUCAGAUAGAUAAUGAUCCAUUGCCAUCUACUCCAUCGCCAUCUAGCUCAACAUUAUCUCCUGUUUUCUCAUUACAUGAUAUUAAGGAACCAGAUUCAAAUAAAGAGAUCAAAGUUGAUGAGACAUGAUUAUCUCCCACAAGACUAUGCAUUGACCGACCAUGAUCUAUGUGCACAUAUAGCAGUAGAAUCAUCUUUGAGUAAAGAAUUGCUGGUUCGGAUAGAUAGAAGUUAUGUGUUACAAAAUCAAUUGAUGUGCCUGCUAGAUGAAAAGGAGUGGGUAAAUGAUGAUGUAAGUACACUUACUAAAACAGGAAAGAGUUUCUAAGCACUAAUAUUUACCAGUAUUGUAUUUUUUGAAAUCUUAAUUUCAGGUGAUCUAUGCAUAUAUAUGUUGUUUAAAGGACUAAAUUCAUGUCCAGAAUGACAAUAAAGUAUAUGUUGAGAGUCCUUUUGUUACCUCACUAUUAAGACGGGAUGGUAACCUUGGCAUACAAGAAGAUAGUGCCUUUAUGACAAAUAUUGUCCAAAAAUAUAUGGAGUAUGACAUGAUAGAACUUCCAAUAAAUGCCAGCAACAUGCAUUGGUAUUUAGCUAUCGUGAAUACAAAAAAGCGUGAGAUUCAAACAUGCAUUGGUGCUGAAGUUUGUC